RNAcentral lists this ribosomal RNA (253 nucleotides) under uncultured bacterium. Its description in RNAcentral is "partial 16S ribosomal RNA". It matches the Rfam family "Bacterial small subunit ribosomal RNA", at positions 524 to 776 of the family's 1533-position model. The record is from RNAcentral.
UACGUAGGGGGCAAGCGUUGUCCGGAAUCAUUGGGCGUAAAGCGCGCGUAGGCGGCCCUGUAAGUCCGCUGUAAAAGUCAAAGGCUCAACCUUUGAAAGCCGGUGGAUACUGCAGGGCUAGAGUCCGGAAGAGGCGAGUGGAAUUCCUGGUGUAGCGGUGAAAUGCGCAGAUAUCAGGAGGAACACCAAUUGCGAAGGCAGCUCGCUGGGACGUUACUGACGCUGAGACGCGAAAGCGUGGGGAGCAAACAGG